This 1000-nucleotide small RNA is filed under the name Pongo abelii (Sumatran orangutan). RNAcentral describes it as "processed transcript". The record is from RNAcentral. Lineage: Eukaryota; Metazoa; Chordata; Mammalia; Primates; Hominidae.
GCGGCCGCAGGUAAUGACCUGGAAGGGGAGGCUUGGGAGGUGGGGCACAGUCCAUGGUGGCAGCUGGCUGGCAAGGGCCUGGCCCUCAGCCCUCUUCGGUCUCUCUCUUUUGCCACCCACAGGACAGCAGGUGCCAGGCUUCCCAACAGCUCCAACCCGGGUGGUGAUUGCCCGGCCCACUCCUCCACAGGCUCGGCCUUCCCAUCCUGGAGGGCCCCCAGUCUCUGGGACACUGCAGGGCGCCGGUCUGGGUACCAAUGCCUCGUUGGCCCAGAUGGUGAGCGGCCUUGUGGGGCAGCUUCUUAUGCAGCCAGUCCUUGUGGCUCAGGGGACCCCAGGUAUGGCUCCACCGCCAGCCCCUGCCACUGCUUCCGCCAGUGCUGGCACCACCAACACAGCUACCACAGCUGGGCCUGCUCCUGGGGGGCCUGCCCAGCCUCCACCCGCCCCUCAACCCUCCACGGCUGAUCUUCAGUUCUCUCAGCUUCUGGGGAACCUGCUUGGGCCUGCAGGGCCAGGGGCUGGAGGGCCUGGUGUGGCUUCUCCCACCAUCACUGUGGCGAUGCCUGGUGUCCCUGCCUUUCUCCAGGGUGUCACUGACUUCUUGCAGGCAACACAGACAGCCCCUCCACCACCCCCACCUCCUCCACCCCCACCACCUGCCCCAGAGCAGCAGACCAUGCCCCCACCAGGCUCCCCUUCUGGUGGUGCAGGGAGUCCUGGAGGCCUGGGUCUUGAGAGCCUGUCACCGGAGUUUUUUACCUCAGUGGUGCAGGGUGUGCUCAGCUCCCUGCUGGGCUCCUUGGGGGCUCGGGCUGGCAGCAGUGAAAGUAUUGCUGCCUUCAUACAACGCCUCAGUGGAUCCAGCAACAUCUUUGAGCCUGGAGCCGAUGGGGCCCUUGGAUUCUUUGGGGCCCUGCUCUCUCUUUUGUGCCAGAACUUCUCUAUGGUGGAUGUAGUGAUGCUUCUUCAUGGGCAUUUCCAGCCACUACAACGGCUC